GGCAAGGUGCAUUAACAAUGCAAUACUAGUUCUUCAGGACUUGUCUAAUAGGGCAUCUCAACCAUGAAUAGAUUACAGGAAUGUCAAUGUACUGAUUUCUUCAGCUCUUAACACAGACAAGUGGAACUUGGAAGAGACAACCUCAAGUCUGAGAAGCUAAGUCCUGCAGUUGCCUACAUGAUUGAUACCCAAGAAAAAUCCUGAAGACGAGCGCGAGGCUCAGGGGAGCUUCAGGUACAGUCUGGCACAAAGGAAAGAGUAAUCAAAUCUGAAUGGGUGACUUAAGGAACUUUUAGCACACCAAGGUAUCUUGAGAGAUCCAGAUGUUAAAGUCCUUGAAGGAAGAAUUUACCCAAAAGUGUGAAGAUGGCAGAGUACCCAAGGAGCAUGAAAACUUUGAACACUGAC
Non-coding RNA from Odocoileus virginianus texanus, 408 nucleotides. Lineage: Eukaryota; Metazoa; Chordata; Mammalia; Artiodactyla; Cervidae. The record is from RefSeq and is a predicted model, not a curated record.